Molecule: ribosomal RNA, 468 nt
Filed under: uncultured bacterium
Lineage: Bacteria
Description: partial 16S ribosomal RNA
Rfam family: Bacterial small subunit ribosomal RNA
Source: RNAcentral
GACGAACGCUGGCGGCGUGCUUAACACAUGCAAGUCGAACGGAAAGGCCCUGCUUUUGUGGGGUGCUCGAGUGGCGAAAGGGUGAGUAACACGUGAGUAACCUGCCCUUGACUUUGGGAUAACUUCAGGAAACUGGGGCUAAUACCGGAUAUGAGCUCCUGCUGCAUGGUGGGGGUUGUAAAGUUUCGGCGGUUGGGGAUGGACUCGCGGCUCAUCAGCUUGUUGGUUGGGUAGUGGCUUACCAAGGCUUUGACGGGUAGCCGGCCUGAGAGGGUGACAGGCCACAUUGGGACGGAGGUAGGAGCCAGAGUGCUACGGGAGGCAGCAGUGGGGAACAUUGCACAAUGGGCGGAAGCAUGAUGCAGCAACGCCGCGUGCGGGAUGACGGUCUUCGGGUUGUAAACCGCUUUCGCCUGUGAAGAAGAGUGAGUGACGGUAAUGGGUAAAAAAGCACCGGCUAACUACGUG